CCUACGGGGUGCAGCAGUGGGGAAUAUUGGACAAUGGGCGAAAGCCUGAUCCAGCCAUGCCGCGUGUGUGAAGAAGGCCUUCGGGUUGUAAAGCACUUUCAGUGGGGAAGAAAGCCUUGGGGCUAAUACCCUCGAGGAAGGACAUCACCCACAGAAGAAGCACCGGCUAACUCCGUGCCAGCAGCCGCGGUAAUACGGAGGGUGCGAGCGUUAAUCGGAAUUACUGGGCGUAAAGCGCGCGUAGGCGGUCUGAUAAGCCGGGUGUGAAAGCCCCGGGCUCAACCUGGGAACGGCAUCCGGAACUGUCAGGCUAGAGUGCAGGAGAGGAAGGUAGAAAUCCCGGUGUAGCGGUGAAAUGCGUAGAGAUCGGGAGGAAUACCAGUGGCGAAGGCGGCCUUCUGGACUGACACUGACGCUGAGGUGCGAAAGCGUGGGUAGCAAACAGGAUUAGAUACCCUAGUAGUC
This 465-nucleotide ribosomal RNA is filed under the name Vreelandella stevensii. Its description in RNAcentral is "partial 16S ribosomal RNA". It matches the Rfam family "Bacterial small subunit ribosomal RNA", at positions 338 to 795 of the family's 1533-position model. The record is from RNAcentral. Lineage: Bacteria; Pseudomonadati; Pseudomonadota; Gammaproteobacteria; Oceanospirillales; Halomonadaceae.